CGAUGGGUAGCCGGGUUGAGAGACCGAUCGGCCACAUUGGGACUGAGAUACGGCCCAGACUCCUACGGGAGGCAGCAGUGGGGAAUUUUGCGCAAUGGGGGAAACCCUGACGCAGCAACGCCGCGUGCGGGACGAAGGCCUUCGGGUUGUAAACCGCUUUCAGCAGGGAAUAUAGUGAAGGUACCUGCAGAAGAAGCUCCGGCUAACUACGUGCCAGCAGCCGCGGUAAUACGUAGGGAGCGAGCGUUAUCCGGAUUCAUUGGGCGUAAAGCGCGCGUAGGCGGCCCGUCAAGCGGGGUUUCAAAUCCAGGGGCUCAACCUCUGGCCGGACCCCGAACUGGCGGGCUCGAGUGCGGUAGAGGAAGGUGGAAUUCCCAGUGUAGCGGUGAAAUGCGCAGAUAUUGGGAAGAACACCGAUGGCGAAGGCAGCCUUCUGGGCCGCCACUGACGCUGAGGCGCGAAAGCU
Molecule: ribosomal RNA, 466 nt
Filed under: uncultured bacterium
Lineage: Bacteria
Description: bacterial SSU rRNA
Rfam family: Bacterial small subunit ribosomal RNA
Source: RNAcentral